This is a long non-coding RNA of Lagopus muta (rock ptarmigan), 478 nucleotides long. RefSeq lists it as uncharacterized. The transcript has 3 exons. Lineage: Eukaryota; Metazoa; Chordata; Aves; Galliformes; Phasianidae. The record is from RefSeq and is a predicted model, not a curated record.
UGGUGUUUCUUCUAAAAUCCUACGAGCCUGACAACUGCAGCAGCUUCAUUAUCAAGAAGAGCAGUUUGGAAAAUCUAACCUCCAGAACAUAUUUGUGAUUAGUAUCUACAUUUUGCGUUGCCAGGUCUCCCAGCCUAUGACACCAAUUGGCUCUAGCCACCCAAAGGACAGAGGUUGGAGGAGGUGUUGUGGUGGAUUUCGAACUUGUGGAUGCAGAAGACUAGAGUUGAAACUGCUGUUUUGGAAAAGAUCUGUUGGCCAGAGCCCAGCUUGGAACUAGCUGGGAAGAAGAAAAACAAAGUCUUGGGAAUUGUUCUGAAAUGAAGCUGUCCCUUCAAGAGAACUUGGAUAUGAAUCAACAGAUAUGCUAGAUGGCUAGUGCAGCAGAGAUCUGAGCACACUGGGGCAACCAAUUCAUCUGGCAUCAAGAACGUAGCUGUUGUGCAAAAGGAGGAAAGUAGAGAGAAACAGGCAUGAA